UUUCAAGGCAGAUUUUUAAAUUAAAAACAAAUUUAUCAAGAGAGCUUUGGAAAUUAUUGCCUCUAAAAUUUUUGAAAGGUAAGGUGACCUUUGUAAACAUAGUGUCAAAUGUAUUUCUCCACUUUUAAGUCCAACAAAAUCAAAAGCAAGAAUGUUGCUUCUUCAGCAAGCUUUGUCUCAGAGAGUAAAUAGGCACUGAUGUAAACUGGAUACUUCAUAAUUAGCUCUUCAGCAUAUUACCUAUUAGCCUGGCAUGGUUAUGACAAAUAGUUUUGAAUAAGAAAGCUCUAACUCAACAAAGAUAUGAGUAGGAAGUCUAUGCAAUGCAUCUUCUAGCAGAGUCACAUUAACAGGAAUAUAAGUCAUAAAAAGACUUAAGCUUUUUUUUUCUUUUUUUUUUUCCCCUGUCAUUAUAAAACAAUACAUAAUGAUGUAAUAAGUAUAAAAGUUACUGUUGAUUAUUCCUGUUUAAUUAUUCCCAAGGCAGAGAAUUAAAGAAAAGACUAGAGCAUGUAGGAUACUAGGGAGGCAGUAGAAGAGGACAUAGUAACUAGUAGACAAAUAAUAAAAAGGAAAACUAUUCUAGUAAUUUCUUUUUCUACCUCUUGGUUGCAAUGAACAGCACAAUUUGGUAUAUGUCUUUUGUAUAUAAGGAAUAUCUUUUGCCCUUGUGUCUCUGAUAAAUUUUCCCUAUGCAGCAAUUUAAAGGUCAUUUCACAGCACUCACAUUAACUAUGUUGUGCAAUUAGUACUUUGCUUGUGACAGUGCAGUCGUUGUCCACAUGCUCCUGUUUCCUUUUGGCCUAAAUUUAUGUUUUGAUCAUAGUUCUGUCUGAAGGACAAAAUCUGAGAUCUGCACAUCGAUGCUCAACCCUAAUAAGCAGCUCUCACUUUGAGUGGAUCACCCAGUGAGAUCAAUGGGACUUCUGCAUACAGUGUAAGAACAGUGUAUUAGAGAAUAUUGUUGAACCAUCAUGGAGGCUCAGGCAAAGGUGUGGCUCCUCUAAGGCAGAGGUAAAAGUAUUACAAACUAUUUAUUGUUCUGGGGACGAAAACUGGUUUGCUCAACGUAGUGGCAGAAAAAUACUGAAGAAAUAUAUUUUGUGUUUAUUUAGACAGUCUUUACAUAUAGUGUGUUCUAAAAUUAGGCAAAAAUAAGUUCCAAAUGAUGUGGUAUUUCUUAAUGCUGGUGAAUGACUUCCAUUUCUUGGCACCACAUAUUUAAUAGCCUCACAGUGCCUUAGUAGAAAUAUUAUACAAAUAUAAUCCAAUAAACCAAAAUUCAAAACUAAAGAGCCA
This 1299-nucleotide long non-coding RNA is filed under the name Anser cygnoides (Swan goose). Its description in RNAcentral is "lncRNA (ENSACDG00005002753.1)". The record is from RNAcentral. Lineage: Eukaryota; Metazoa; Chordata; Aves; Anseriformes; Anatidae.